GUCCACGCCGUAAACGAUGUCGACUAGCCGUUGGGCCCUUCUAGGGCUUAGUGGCGCAGCUAACGCAUUAAGUCGACCGCCUGGGGAGUACGGCCGCAAGGUUAAAACUCAAAUGAAUUGACGGGGCCCGCACAAGCGGUGGAGCAUGUGGUUUAAUUCGAUGCAACGCGAAGAACCUUACCUACCCUUGACAUCCUGCGAACUUUCUAGAGAUAGAUUGGUGCCUUCGGGAGCGCAGAGACAGGUGCUGCAUGGCUGUCGU
Molecule: ribosomal RNA, 262 nt
Filed under: uncultured bacterium
Lineage: Bacteria
Description: partial 16S ribosomal RNA
Rfam family: Bacterial small subunit ribosomal RNA
Source: RNAcentral